UCCGGGGUAGCUCAACAGGAAGAGCAGCGGACUGUUAAUCCGAAGGUUUGCGGGUUCGAGCCCCGCCCCCGGAGCCA
RNAcentral lists this transfer RNA (77 nucleotides) under Euzebyales bacterium. RNAcentral describes it as "tRNA-Asn". It matches the Rfam family "tRNA". From Rfam's summary of the family: Transfer RNA (tRNA) molecules are approximately 80 nucleotides in length. Their secondary structure includes four short double-helical elements and three loops (D, anti-codon, and T loops). Lineage: Bacteria; Bacillati; Actinomycetota; Nitriliruptoria; Euzebyales. The record is from RNAcentral.